This 59-nucleotide microRNA precursor is filed under the name Monodelphis domestica (gray short-tailed opossum). RNAcentral's name for it is "microRNA mdo-mir-7275 precursor". Lineage: Eukaryota; Metazoa; Chordata; Mammalia; Didelphimorphia; Didelphidae. The record is from miRBase by way of RNAcentral.
CUUUCACCUCUGAAUAUUCACUAAGUGUUUAUUGAGUGAAUGUGAAUGGGUGAUUGGGA